RNAcentral lists this ribosomal RNA (254 nucleotides) under uncultured bacterium. RNAcentral describes it as "partial 16S ribosomal RNA". It matches the Rfam family "Bacterial small subunit ribosomal RNA", at positions 524 to 776 of the family's 1533-position model. The record is from RNAcentral.
UACGUAGGGUGCGAGCGUUGUCCGGAAUUAUUGGGCGUAAAGAGCUCGUAGGCGGUGUGUCACGUCGGCCGUGAAAACCUGCAGCUUAACUGUGGGCGUGCGGUCGGUACGGGCAUCACUGGAGUUCGGCAGGGGAGACUGGAAUUCCUGGUGUAGCGGUGAAAUGCGCAGAUAUCAGGAGGAACACCGGUGGCGAAGGCGGCGACCUGGGUCGAUACUGACGCUGAGGAGCGAAAGCGUGGGGAGCGAACAGG